Molecule: long non-coding RNA, 3266 nt
Organism: Oxyura jamaicensis (ruddy duck)
Lineage: Eukaryota; Metazoa; Chordata; Aves; Anseriformes; Anatidae
Exons: 2
Source: RefSeq, a predicted model, not a curated record
AUGGCAGCAGGUGAGCCAGCCUGUUCAUCUGCAGGAGCUCGGCAUCAUUUUUUCCUCUUGUGGAAGUAAAGUAGGCUAGUGCUAGCAUGAAGGUAUACACGAAACAUGAAAGUGUUUUCUCUAGUAAUCAUGGUAGAAAAGAGUCACCACCAAACAAUGUCUGUGGAAGAGCACAACAAGGUUUUAAAAGUUCUUUCCUGACUUCUGAACGUACGAAUGGGCCCAUAAUGUGUCUCACCAGAAAAGGUGUUCAGAGGCAGGAUGUUUUUUGUUCUGCAUCAGACAUUCUUGUUGUAUGUUGAAAGCUAACCCUUCUUUAAAGGCUGAAAGUAUAUGACUGUUUGAACAUACAAUGCACUAGUCAUAAUACUUAGCUUAUAGCACUAUAAUCCUUACACUAUUAUGUAGUACUAGCUGAAGGGUAAGAGAAAAUGACAUAUUUGGGGCAGAACUACAAUGAACUACAGGAAGGCCAGAAUAAAUUUGCUCUUGACUAAUGCCUAAUCUGCAGUCCUGAAGAUUCCUUGUUUUUUCCUGAGUAGGGCAUCAGUCUGUUUACCAUAUCUUGUCUUUUUGCUUUUGUUGCACUAGUCUGUCAGACUGUGAGAACACGAAUCCAGCAGCCAAGAUUACUUGUAAUUUUGUCUAGCCAUUGCAAUACGACUUUCUUGCAGAAAACUGUUUUCAUUAUACAUUUUUUUAACAAUGAGUUAGAUCUCUUUAUUACAUGGUAACAAUAACCUUGCUAUAAACUAGUACCUUUUAAUAGCCUUGCUAUAAAAUAUACAUUUUAAAUAUUUUAUGAGCGUGAAGUAAGUCAUCAGUGUUCCAUUCUGUGUUUUGAGUACUCAGCUUGGUCCACAGUAUGGUGCUGUAUUUUGAUGGAAACUCUCCAUUUUGAUAAUUGUGGGCUAUCCUCAUGGAGGUCAUCUCCUCUCAGGUAAGCUGAAGUUGAAUUAGGUUGAAGCAUGAUAGAGCUGCAAUGUGAGAAUUGUCCUACAUUAAAAAGUGAAGCGGAGCUUUUCCAUACAGUGUGCUCUGCCCUUAUAGGCAUAUGAGAAGACUAGGGAGAGCAGGGAUGACCCCAUGGAAAAAUAUUCUGGCCUAUCUCUGUUUGCAAUAAAUUACCCCUUUUUUGUUGCACAUAUGUAGAAUCAAACGCAAAUGCAACAAAUACUAACAAAGAUGAAUGCUGACUUCUACAAGAAUUUUAGGUAAGGUUUUGGUUAAGAAAAAAUAACGACCUGAAGAACUAGAUAUUUGGGGAGGGAAAAAUCAGGGCUCAUUUGUGCUGUUUGUCUCACUGCAGGUCUGAGCUCCUGCAAAGCCUUUUUCAAUUUAUUAUGGGAUUAGCAUCUUGUCCUAGUGAUCUUUCUUUCUUUUAGAUUAAAAAAUCUUUUCCAGUUCCUCUUAAAUGUAGUUAUGAGAGGACAGAACUUCAUAUACCAGCCCUGUUUACCCGCUUAGCAAUUUGCCAGUAACAGGAGUAGCUGUAAAGCUCUAUAUAGAGUGAGAUUUUGAACUAAUUCCAGCAGGUGGAACUAGUGUGUGGCUUAAACGUCUCCCUGGCUGGCCUGGCUCCUAGGUAGUCCGCAGCUGCCAUGUCAGUAUUUGCUGGGCACAGAACCGUUUUUGGAUUUUUCCUGCUCUACACCGCUAACUGCUACCAAGCAGUUAUCUUUUCUUAACCCACUGCCACCUAUGCAUGGGGGCCAGGAAGUGUCUUGCCGCCAUUAGUGUUUUAAUGACCUCUGGGACAGCCAGUUUUAUGCCGCUGGGAUAAUUUACGCCGGCUGGAAAGUUACAUAGUGUUCCUGUAUGCUGUUCGGCCGCUAGGCCGUGUUUCCUGCUGACCUUCCCCCAUUGACGUCAGUGAGUUACAGCAGUAGGGAAUUUGGCCCACUCUCCAUCAAGUGAAGUCAUAGCCCGGCAGUAAUGAUGGCAUUGUCAGAGCUCUCGUGUGCUCAAGUUGUAUUUUGCUAAGGGAUGGAAAUGGUCUGCACCCUUCUUGAGAGCUAGCCCACCCAUUUUUCAAAAGAUGUGAAUGCACUGACCUUGAGAAAUCAGGUUAAUUCAGCCUGCUUUCUGCCUUGGAAAAUACAGCAGGUGCAGAGCGCGGCAGCCUGCAUUCUGCUUGUUAAGCAGGGAUUUGUGCAAAGGCUACGGUCUGACCCUGCUGCAGGGCCUGCACUGGCUGCUGAUCUGUCUCAGGGUGGAUUUUGGAGGUGUGUGUUAAUUUCCAAAGCCCAGCUAUAUGAGAGAUGACCUCUGCCUUGUUGUGUUUCCAAGGCAGUUGAGCAGACAGCCUCUCUGUGAUAAAAUGUUGAGCAAUCCAAGAAAAGACAAACCUUUGCUGACAGCACGGCUACAGUUCUUGUCCUGGUAUUACAGAGCCUGGAUUCAGUAAAUGUCAAAAAUGGAUUUUUUAGUGGAAGCUGGAGAGAUAAUGAUCUGGGCAACGUCUGUUCUGAUGUUAGCUAGGGCUAGGAUCUAGUUCUCAUCCAAGAUAAGACAGCCCUUUUUGAUUGCUUGGUAAAGAAAAAUUACUGGUAUUUCCAAAGAUGUUUAAAAGAAAUGGAAGACAUUUUCUGAAUACAUAUUUUGACAGUAACCAUUUGAAAUUAUGUUUAUAAUGAGAUUGAAGCUUACAAAGUCUAAUAAAAUAAUUUCACGCUGAACAUCCAAAGGAAAAAAAAAAAAAAAAAAAAAGACCAUGUAAAACAUGCUUUCUGCAGCAAUUUCUACAUGAAAUAUUGAAAUAUUAAGCUGAGUGGACCCACAGUGCUUUCAGGCAUGAAACCAACUUAAUUCUUCUGCAGGUACAAAGAGCAUUUUCUUCAUUUUAGUUUAUUCAGUUAGCACAGUCCAACCAGUAAGGCUAAUCGACAUUCAGGAAACAGGGAGUCAGAGAAGCAGAAAUUAUCCUAUUUCAAUCUGUGAAUAAAAUGUAGCUGUGAGAGCUCUACUGGUCUAAAAUCUUAUAGACAAAAUAACUGUAAAAUGCCAGUGUGGUUUCUUCACCACAGCUAGUGCUUCCUUUGUGAAGUCAGCAUAAGAAGUGGUUUGUAAGUGUUUGGUUAAAAUUUCUCUUUCUUCCUUAACUGCCCAACAAAUUCAGUUGCAGCUUUAUUUAGCUAUUUAGCCACCAAAAAUGCUGGGCUUGUCAGUUGCAAAUAAAGCUGCUAAAGCUUUUAGAUAACUAAUUACAUCAAUGACCAGAUAGUGCUUUGAUACAAAUCUUUAAUGAAAAUGGAUGAAUUACCUAU